RNAcentral lists this ribosomal RNA (816 nucleotides) under bacterium. Its description in RNAcentral is "bacterial SSU rRNA". It matches the Rfam family "Bacterial small subunit ribosomal RNA", at positions 32 to 859 of the family's 1533-position model. The record is from RNAcentral.
AACGCUGGCGGCGUGCUUAACACAUGCAAGUCGAACGGAAAGGCCCUGCUUGCAGGGUGCUCGAGUGGCGAACGGGUGAGUAACACGUGGGUGAUCUGCCCCUGACUUUGGGAUAAGCCUGGGAAACUGGGUCUAAUACCGGAUAUGACCAAGGAUUGCAUGGUUCUUGGUGGAAAGCUUUUGCGGUUGGGGAUGGGCCCGCGGCCUAUCAGCUUGUUGGUGGGGUAAUGGCCUACCAAGGCGACGACGGGUAGCCGACCUGAGAGGGUGAUCGGCCACACUGGGACUGAGACACGGCCCAGACUCCUACGGGAGGCAGCAGUGGGGAAUAUUGCACAAUGGGCGCAAGCCUGAUGCAGCGACGCCGCGUGAGGGAUGACGGCCUUCGGGUUGUAAACCUCUUUCAGCAGGGACGAAGCGCGAGUGACGGUACCUGCAGAAGAAGCACCGGCCAACUACGUGCCAGCAGCCGCGGUAAUACGUAGGGUGCGAGCGUUGUCCGGAAUUACUGGGCGUAAAGAGCUCGUAGGCGGUUUGUCGCGUCGUCUGUGAAAUUCUGCAGCUUAACUGCAGGCGUGCAGGCGAUACGGGCAGACUUGAGUACUACAGGGGAGACUGGAAUUCCUGGUGUAGCGGUGAAAUGCGCAGAUAUCAGGAGGAACACCGGUGGCGAAGGCGGGUCUCUGGGUAGUAACUGACGCUGAGGAGCGAAAGCGUGGGUAGCGAACAGGAUUAGAUACCCUGGUAGUCCACGCCGUAAACGGUGGGUACUAGGUGUGGGUUCCAUUUCACGGGAUCCGUGCCGUAGCUAACGCA